UCUUCCAAGAUGCCUAACUC
Molecule: non-coding RNA, 20 nt
Filed under: Arabidopsis thaliana (thale cress)
Lineage: Eukaryota; Viridiplantae; Streptophyta; Magnoliopsida; Brassicales; Brassicaceae
Source: RNAcentral